GUUGGUCGGUGACUUUGUUGCUCGACUCAAAGCUAGGAGCUGCUUGGGAUCAUCGAGUUCUCGUUUAUCUGCGUGGAUAGCGCUUAGAGACAGGUGCAAAAGAACUCUGCUCUGUGCAUGGGUGUUCUCCCUAGCUCAAAUUCUAUCUUCACCCAUGGUUAUGUUUUCUUGUUUUCGCUAAAGGAUCUUAUGGAUUGUUGUUAAUCAGGGG
RNAcentral lists this unclassified non-coding RNA (211 nucleotides) under Hevea brasiliensis (rubber tree). Lineage: Eukaryota; Viridiplantae; Streptophyta; Magnoliopsida; Malpighiales; Euphorbiaceae. The record is from RNAcentral.